RNAcentral lists this ribosomal RNA (253 nucleotides) under uncultured bacterium. RNAcentral's name for it is "partial 16S ribosomal RNA". It matches the Rfam family "Bacterial small subunit ribosomal RNA", at positions 524 to 776 of the family's 1533-position model. The record is from RNAcentral.
UACGGGGGGGGCAAGCGUUGUUCGGAUUCACUGGGCGUAAAGGGUGCGUAGGCGGUCGGGUAAGUCUGACGUGAAAUCUUCAAGCUCAACUUGGAAACUGCGUCGGAUACUAUUCGGCUAGAGGAAUGGAGGGGAGACUGGAAUACUUGGUGUAGCAGUGAAAUGCGUAGAUAUCAAGUGGAACACCAGUGGCGAAGGCGAGUCUCUGGACAUUUCCUGACGCUGAGGCACGAAAGCCAGGGGAGCAAACGGG